CAGCCGCGUGGAAGAAGGCCUCCUUGGAGGGUUGAGGGCCCUCGAGCGGUUUGCCGUUCAGGUCGAUGGUGGCCAG
RNAcentral lists this transfer RNA (76 nucleotides) under Kineosporia sp. NBRC 101677. Its description in RNAcentral is "tRNA-Leu". Lineage: Bacteria; Bacillati; Actinomycetota; Actinomycetes; Kineosporiales; Kineosporiaceae. The record is from RNAcentral.